RNAcentral lists this ribosomal RNA (615 nucleotides) under Wolbachia endosymbiont of Torotrogla merulae. RNAcentral describes it as "bacterial SSU rRNA". It matches the Rfam family "Bacterial small subunit ribosomal RNA", at positions 93 to 743 of the family's 1533-position model. Lineage: Bacteria; Pseudomonadati; Pseudomonadota; Alphaproteobacteria; Rickettsiales; Anaplasmataceae. The record is from RNAcentral.
UAGUGGCAGACGGGUGAGUAAUGUAUAGGAAUCUACCUAGUAGUACGGAAUAAUUGUUGGAAACGGCAACUAAUACCGUAUACGCCCUACGGGGGAAAGAUUUAUUGCUAUUAGAUGAGCCUAUAUUAGAUUAGCUAGUUGGUAGGGUAAUGGCCUACCAAGGCAAUGAUCUAUAGCUGAUCUGAGAGGAUGAUCAGCCACACUGGAACUGAGAUACGGUCCAGACUCCUACGGGAGGCAGCAGUGGGGAAUAUUGGACAAUGGGCGGAAGCCUGAUCCAGCCAUGCCGCAUAAGUGAAGAAGGCCUUUGGGUUGUAAAGCUCUUUUAGUGAGGAAGAUAAUGACGGUACUCACAGAAGAAGUCCUGGCUAACUCCGUGCCAGCAGCCGCGGUAAUACGGAGAGGGCUAGCGUUAUUCGGAAUUAUUGGGCGUAAAGAGCGCGUAGGCUGGUUAGUAAGUUAAAAGUGAAAUCCCAAGGCUUAACUUUGGAAUUGCUUUUAAAACUGCUAAUCUAGAGAUUGAAAGAGGAUAGAGGAAUUCCUAGUGUAGAGGUGAAAUUCGUAAAUAUUAGGAGGAACACCAGUGGCGAAGGCGUCUAUCUGGUUCAAAUCUGA